Molecule: ribosomal RNA, 253 nt
Filed under: uncultured bacterium
Lineage: Bacteria
Description: partial 16S ribosomal RNA
Rfam family: Bacterial small subunit ribosomal RNA
Source: RNAcentral
UACGUAGGUGGCAAGCGUUAUCCGGAAUUAUUGGGCGUAAAGAGCGCGCAGGUGGUUAAUUAAGUCUGAUGUGAAAGCCCACGGCUUAACCGUGGAGGGUCAUUGGAAACUGGUUGACUUGAGUGCAGAAGAGGGAAGUGGAAUUCCAUGUGUAGCGGUGAAAUGCGUAGAGAUAUGGAGGAACACCAGUGGCGAAGGCGAUUCUCUGGACUGUAACUGACGCUGAGGCUCGAAAGCGUGGGGAGCAAACAGG